RNAcentral lists this ribosomal RNA (253 nucleotides) under uncultured bacterium. Its description in RNAcentral is "partial 16S ribosomal RNA". It matches the Rfam family "Bacterial small subunit ribosomal RNA", at positions 524 to 776 of the family's 1533-position model. The record is from RNAcentral.
UACGUAGGGGGCAAGCGUUGUCCGGAUUUAUUGGGCGUAAAGAGCGUGUAGGCGGCCAGACAGGUCCGUUGUGAAAACUCGAGGCUCAACCUCGAGACGCCGAUGGAAACCGUCUGGCUAGAGUCCGGAAGAGGAGAGUGGAAUUCCUGGUGUAGCGGUGAAAUGCGCAGAUAUCUGGAGGAACACCGGUGGCGAAGGCGGCAUCCUGGACCAACACUGACACUGAGGAGCGAAAGCCAGGGGAGCAAACGGG